UGUGAGGGUGAUCUGGCUGUGACAUCUGUCACCCUCUUGAUUGCCAGGGUUGAUUCGGUUGAUCUGGCUGGCUAGGUGGGCGUCCCUUUCCCCCCUUACUGUUCCAUGUGUGUCCCUCCUGAAUCUUUGCACUUGGUCGAAGAUGACCAUCCUGGAUAGAAGAGGACCAGUCUUUGGUCAAGGGUAUACAAGUAGCUAUGCCUGCUUGCUAGAACCUCCAAACAAGCUCUCAAGGUCCAAAUAUCCAGCACAUAAUUAGCAAUGGAUUAGAAAAGGGAGCUGGGAAGGUGGAAGGAAGCAGAAACAGUGAGUCCCUGAAUGAAAGAGACAGAAACACU
Molecule: non-coding RNA, 338 nt
Organism: Macaca mulatta (Rhesus monkey)
Lineage: Eukaryota; Metazoa; Chordata; Mammalia; Primates; Cercopithecidae
Source: Rfam